This 37251-nucleotide long non-coding RNA is filed under the name Triticum aestivum (bread wheat). Its description in RNAcentral is "long non-coding RNA (TAES_LNC018044)". The record is from RNAcentral. Lineage: Eukaryota; Viridiplantae; Streptophyta; Magnoliopsida; Poales; Poaceae.
AGCUCCGGUGUUUCCACCGCUGUCGGAGCACGUCAGAAAUGAAAAACAUGUCCAAACCUUGGAAUAUGUUUAUGACCACAGAUCUUUUUGUAUUGAUGAUGAGUGUACAUGUGCGGCGUCUCUGUAAACAUUCGUGUUCACUUUGCAGCUGUUACAUUGAUAUUCACAAGGCAGAGAGAUCUCUCUCAAGUGUAUUGUUGUAUAACAGCCUGAAUUACAGCAGAACAUGUUUGCUAUUGUACUUGGGAGCUUGGAAGUGGUUUUUAUAUAUAAACUGAUGUGCCAUAUCGGUGGCCGUCCAUCUUGCGCCGAGAUUCAUGACGAGCUUGCUUUGGUUGUUGUGGGUUUUGGGUCUUCACCCGUCAGAGAAGAGAUAGGAAGCCGUGAGCCUGUAGCAGUGAAAUCGCGAGAGGGGAAAGUGUUGGCGUCCCAAGCAGCAGCGAGGGAAAAUGUGUUGGCCUGGAACGUGCAUCAGCACUCGACACAGGCGAUGAAAUUCUUCUUCCGGCGCGAGUUGGCUUUAAGAUGGAAAAAGAGACCCCUAUAAUCUUGCCUCCAUCUCAUGAACCGCAGCCAGUUGUCAUGGGCUUGCCAAGUUAGUGACACUGAAGUGCUACCUCUUGCUCUUGUGGAGUUGGCUUUGAGCAGUGAGCACCAGCUGGUGCAGAAACUUGGAGACCACAUUUAGUACUGUAGUUGUUUUGGGUUCCAAUUAGAGGAGGCUCACAACAUUCACAAGUUGUCAACUUGCAAACUUGCAGUUCACAUUACUUCCUUUUUACAAUGAUGGAUUUCAUUGACUCAAAAUGAAGCACCAAUGCGAUACAAACACAAUGAGUGUACAUUCGACCUCUGCAUGACUAAGAUGCGUUUGAUCAACACCAACGCGCACACACACAAAGAAUGACAAUGGUUAAGAGCAAAGCAAUACAAGAUCAAAGCUAUGACUGGGCAGGCAGUGGCAAAAGAAAAAAAAAACUUCAAAACAAUGGUCGACGAACUACAACAACCACCAUCCGCGCUAAUCAUCUCUUGACAUCACAGGGAUAGCGAGAAACAUUUGUCAGCAACAACGCCUCCAAGGGGGCGAUGCUCAAGUACCACCGUCAUCGGAUCCAACCACGAAAGGUCAGAUCAUGGAUUUCACCCUGAAGAUCAAGUCUGAGCAAAUCCUUCAACAAGGAUACCGAGCAAAAAACACUACCAUUGCCAGGCUACGUUGCACAGAUACUUCUUUUUUUUGCAUGGUAAUACGUGUCUCAUUUAUAAAAUAAAGAUCCAGUUAUAAGGCACGUAAGCACCAACAUUACAAGACUGAAAAGAUAAGAUAAUCCAAUGCAAAAACCCUCUCUGGCACCACCGAAGCGGCCACCAAAGAAAAAAAAAACAGAUCGCCUCUUCACCCGAGCUCGACGCGGCUCCAUCGCUGAUCAGCAGUUUUACGGACCUCGAAAGUAGUUUGCCAGAAGCAAACCCAUUGUCGUUGAAAGAAUCAGACCUGGGCAACAUGUCCCCGGACACGCCAUCGAACUCUAGAUCUGACACCCCCGCACGACAACGACGUCGAAGGAGGAAACCAGAACUGUCAGCCACCAACCACAAACCCAGCACGGGAUGCACCAUCUUCCAGUUGUCACUUGCGCAGACAACCGUCUGCGCGUACUCCUGGACGACAAAACCUCCCUGCUCUACCAUGACGUCGGAGACAAUGCCACAUCAACGGGGACAGAGCAGAAGGAGAGACACACCUGAUGAAGUCGUCGCCGCCGCCUUGCCGACACCAUCCAUGAACCCUAACACAGCCGAUCUGAAGGAUCGGCAAACACAUGAUGCCAUCAACUCCGAGACGCCGCCAUGAAGGGCACCGCCGGUGUGGGAGUGAAGCUGAGGCAGAUUUAUUCAUCCGGGUGCCGCUCCCACCACCCCAACGACACACCACGACCUACAAAUCCAAAACCUAACUACAGAGCGGAGGAACGGGGUCCCCCCUCCCUCCUACCGCCGGAGCAGCCGGAGGGAGAGGGGGCCAACGCCCUGGCCGACUGAGAUCGGAGGAAGAAAAUCGCCUCCCUAGUCGCCUGGCGUGGCGGCGGCUAGGGUAGGGAAGACGUACAUACGCUCGAUAGAUUGCACAGAUACUUCAUAAAGCGCUCUUAUCUAGCCAGAUACUGCCCCGAUACGUAUCCUGUAUGUAUCCUUCAAUUUAUUGAUUUUAGAAAAAUGUUUGAUAUGCUUGGGAUAUAGCUGCAUUACGUUUUGGAUACGAGAAACCCUUCGUUUUGACGUGAAAACCCCUUGACUCCCUUGUGGAGCCGCCGCACGUCUCCAUAACUUCUCAGCUCGUCGAGUCCUCUCCUCUCCUACAUGUUCCUUCUGAAUUCCAACCAAAUCUCUAAUUUUUCGCCACCUUGCCGCUGGCAGGAGACUUGUGCGUGUUUGAAGGAAAACCACGACACUCAUUUUGGAACAGAGGGACUACAUAUAUACAAAUGUAUCCCCAUAUCACAAUUUUUAGAAAAUUAGCUCGGGUGUAUCCCCAUAUCGCGUUCUGAUACAUAUUCAAGUAUCCAUGCAAUAUAGCCGUCAUGUAUAACUAAUUAGGGUCAAACUUAGGGGUUUCGCCCCAAAGCUCGAGAUUGGUAACCAAAUCAAAAUUAUCAUGUGUUGUCGCCACCACUUUCCACGUCUCAGCAGCUACAUGUGUACCACAGUUUAGAUGUGAGAUGCCACACAAGUGAAGAUCAUGCUCAUACAAGUCAAGCCGCAACAAGUGUUAGUCGACACUAAAGGCUCGGAACGACGAAGGUCACCCUCACAAUCUCGUGACCAAGGGCUACCGGAGCAAAGAAUGCCCACUGUAGCCUUCAUCGACCAGUGUUAGGGCUUAGCCCGACCACUGGUCUCUAGCAGCGGGGAGGUAGCAGGCGAAAACUACGGAGAGGGGUGGAGGCAUUGGCUUUGGGGAGAUAGGAGGCAAUUGUUAGGUUUCAGUACUUGAUUUUGUGAAGAGUGAAAUGAUAACAAUAAAGUGUCUUAGCACAUGAGUUUUUGUCGGUUGAGAGCAAGGCCUAGCUCUUUUGAAAGCAAGGCCCAGUCUAUGCCAAAAAGAACUUGAUUUGGAUUGCAAACUCUUGAGAGGAUUCUAGAGAAUCCUGGUGCAAUCCAAAACCUCAAAAAACGAGGAUUCUAAGAUUCUAAACAACCAGAGGCCCGAAAGGUGACUGCCACUGCAUGCAAGUGCCUUCACAAUUGGAUUCGUGAUAGCAAGUUACGUGUGAAAGGAUAGAUNNNNNNNNNNNNNNNNNNNNNNNNNNNNNNNNNNNNNNNNNNNNNNNNNNNNNNNNNNNNNNNNNNNNNNNNNNNNNNNNNNNNNNNNNNNNNNNNNNNNNNNNNNNNNNNNNNNNNNNNNNNNNNNNNNNNNNNNNNNNNNNNNNNNNNNNNNNNNNNNNNNNNNNNNNNNNNNNNNNNNNNNNNNNNNNNNNNNNNNNNNNNNNNNNNNNNNNNNNNNNNNNNNNNNNNNNNNNNNNNNNNNNNNNNNNNNNNNNNNAAUUUUUAGCUUUUCUUUACCAAUUUAAACUUUACAUCAAAGUAGGUUGUCUAGAUAUGCAACCAGGUGAGCAACCUAUAUGAUGCAACAAUAACAAGUACACAAGCAAGCAAGGGAUAUAACACAAAUAAGCUUGCACAAGUAAAGGCACGAGAUAACCAAGAGUGGAGUCGAUGAAGACGAGGAUGUGUUACCGAAGUUCCUUCCUUUGAAGGGAAGUACGUCUCCGUUGGAGCGGUGUGGAGGCACAAUGCUCCCCAGGAAGCCACUAGGGACACCGUAAUCUCCUCACGCCCUCACGCAAUGCGAGAUGCCGUGAUUCCACUAUUGGUGCCCUUGGAGGCGGCGACCGGACCUUUACAAACAAGGUUGGGGCAAUCUCCACAACUUAAUCGGAGGCUCCCAACUACACCACGAAGCUUCACCACAAUGGAAUAUGGCUCCGUGGUGACCUCAACCGUCUAGGGUGCUCAAACACCCAAGAGUAACAAGAUCCGCAAGGGAUUAGAGGGGGGAAUCAAAUUUCUCUUGGUGGAAGUGUAGAUCGGGGCCUUCUCAACCAAUUCCUAAAGAAUCAACAAGUUUGAUUGGCUACGGAGCGAGAUCGAGCGAAAAUGGAGCUUAGAGCAACAAUGGAGCUUGGGGAUGGAAGAGGUGGUCAACUCGGAGAAGAAGACUCCCCUUAUAUAGUGCAAGAACAAAUCCAACCGUUAUCCACUAACUCAGCACGCGACGAGCGGUACUACCGCACCUGGCAAGCGGUACUACCGCACGGGACCACGGUACUACCGCAGGGUACUGCAGUACUACCGCUGGCGCAGCAGGAGCUAGACCAGCCUGUGGCAAGGGCGGUAGAAGCGCUGGAGCGGUACUACCGCAUCCCCUUGCGGUACUACUGCAAGACAGGGUUGGUCUAGACUGAGAAGGCACGGACAUAUAAAAAUACAUCCGUAGCAACUUCCGCUGAGUUCCGAUCCAUGCAAAAAUCCGACACGGUACUACCACACCCGGCAAGCGGUACUACCGCGUAGAGCGCGGAUGUAAAAAAUUACAUCCGCCCCUACUUCCGCUCAUGUUGCUGUGCCAGGCCAGGGCUCACGGUACUACCGCGCCCAUGGGGCGGUACUACCGCGUAGGGCGCUGAUGUAAAAAAUUACAUCCACCCCCUACAGCCGGUCGAGCAGCUGAGCCUGGCCAGAGGCCACGGUACUACCGCUCCCAAGGAGCGGUACUACCGUGAGUACCUGCGGUACUACCGCGCCUACGACCGGUACUACCGCAAGGCACUGCGGUACUACCGCUCGGAAGAGCAGUACUACUGCAUGCCCCAGAACACCAACACUAGGAGUCCUUCAUUUUGCAAAGACACGAAGAAACGGAGGAUUCCCCAAAGAGCCAAAGGAAAGGUGGUGCAAAAAGAAACAGACGUGUACGUGUUGAUUCCACCCAAACCUUUUCAACGCGGACCCCCUCUUAAUAGUACGGCUUUCCUACGACUCAAAUCCACUGAAAAGAAACAUAGAGAAACACCGUCUUCAAUAGUCUUCGAGGGGCACCAAAUCGUCUUGUGCCUAGUCAUGAUAUGUCUGAAAAGCUCAAUGCACACGAUUAGUCCGCAAAUGCAUUGUCAUCAAUCACCAAAACAACUAAGGGAUUGAUGACAAUACGGGAUUUGCACAUAGGGAUAAGAAUAAAACAUAGGCAAACCCCACAUCUAUAAAAUAUAGACGGGCUCCCCCUAGAUGUGUGAUUUCUAGAGAAAUGCUUUGGACUGCACGUCACACAUACUAGGAUCAACACUCCCCCUAUAUUUUAUAGACAAGGCAUAUCUUGCAACAAUAUAGCUAACAUUAAGCAAGGAGGCAAGAUAAUAACUAUGAGCAUAAAGUAAAUGGCACAAGAUAGCAUAGGCUCACGGGCUACGAAAGACAAUAAGGUACACUAGAGUGCAUAUGUCUUACACCAUAUGAAAGAGAACCUGGUCUCACAAGCACAAAACAAACCAAAGCAAACGAGGUCCAACGAAACGAAAGCGAAGUGACAAAGCGAAACAACACGACACACGAGACGCAAAUCCUACACUCUCUCCCCCUUUGGCAUCGAGACACCAAAAAGGGCAGAGAGGACACCUACGACACAUGUGGUAGCUCAAGCUGAAGCGAUCACUCGUCACGCUCCUCGUCGGACUCCGCAGCGGGGAUGGGCUCCUCCUCAGAUUCAGUCCACUGGUAGCCCUGCUUCGUCAUCCAUUCUGCCUCUGGCGUGAUGUGCUUCUCGGACCCGCUGGAUAUCUCCUCGCCAAACGUCCUCAAGAUCCUCUUGUCGCGGCGGCGAAUCUCCUUGGAAGCAACAUGGGUCCGGUACUGGCCCUUGGCCUGCAUACAGAACAGAGCCUUCAUCUUGUUCUUCAGCUUCUUAGCCCAAGAAGGCUCAGUAGAGGGAGGAGCAUACCCAGCAGAGCUGUCCUCAUCCGCUUCCUCCUCCUCAAUCUCAUCCUCAUCAACAUCCAUUCUAGCAGGCUCUGCCUCAGCACGAGUAGCGGUGUUAGCCCACUGAGGCUUGAUGCAGAGCUUGAUGGGGUCGUGAUGGAUCCAGUCAGGUGCAACAAACUCCUCAGCAGGAUAGAGGUUCUCCCAAGUCAUCGUGAUCAAGAGAAACAGGUAAGGUCCAUAGAUGGGUACCUUACGGUUGAACACCGCAAACCGUAGCUCGCACCACAUGAUGUGUUAGACGUCAAGUGGUUGUGUAUGAGUGUGACGCGCCUCCUCACAAAUGAGCAUCAUAUCCAUGAGAUAGGCAUGCACCUUGUCCUUGUCACCAAUGCGGGGAAAGAGGGAGUUGCGGAAGAUCCGGUGCAUGAUGUCAAGGAAUGGGUUCAGCACCCACACCUUCUUGCCACUGGGAAGAGUCUUCUCAACAUAGAAUUGCUGAAGCUUGCUCUUGCUAGCGGACUCGGGGUUGGCAUGAGGGCGGACACCAACGGGCGUGUUGAGCCCCUCAUCAGGCACCUGCAGCAAAGCCAUGACGUCCUUCCAUUUAGCAGUCAUCUGUUGUCCAUUGGUCAUCCAAGUCAUGGACCGUUCCUCAUCAGUAUGGAAGUGGAUUGAAGCAAAGAACUGGGCCACAAUCUCAGGGUCAAAGUCCAGGUGGAAAGAGAUCACGUCCUCAAUUUCAAACUGCUCCACCAGGUCCAAAACCUCACCAAAAUGGUCACAGUGCUUAUCCUGCCUCAUGUGAUUCAUGUUAGUCCAGUGCACGUCCACGUAGAUGUUCUGCUUGGCCUUGAUCACAUCCAGAUAGAUAAGAUUCUGCUGCUUGGUCCAGAACAAAUCAUUCCCUCUGAAGUUGGCACGAGGAUUCACAUAGGGGUUGAUCCUCCUUUGAGUGACAAACUCAGCAAGUGGUAUCUCAUCCAUGCCCAUGGAGGGCUCCUUGUUCUUGGUGGCGGUGGUUUUGGCUCUGCGUUGGGGGGCAUUGGAGCCCUCUGGAGCUUCAUCUUGGUUGCGCAGACGCUUGGAGCCCGUGUCACGACUGGGAUUGGAACGGCGAACAUUGGAACCGGAGCCACCACCUAUGAAACAAAACACAAGAACACGCAAGAGAAGCGAGAAGGAUCAAUGCAAAGACCACAACAACACAAGUGAAACAAGUAGAAAUAGCAUUGGGUGUAAUUGCUACAUGGAAGAUUUGACAUCAACGGUAGUACCGCACGGAUGCACGAAACUAAAAUUUUAGUGCUGCUCCAGCCACGGUAGUACCGCGCCAGAAUGGCACGGUAGUACCACGCCUGGAGCGGAAGUAAAAUUUUACUUCCGCGCCUCGCGCGGUAGUACCGCUCCUGAGGAGCGGUAGCACCGUACGAGCGGUAGUACCGCACGGGAGGUGCGGUAGUACCGCACGGGGUCGGAUCUGAAACACAAAUGGAUCUGAGCACAGCCAUGACAACGGAGCGGUACUACGGUUGAUCAAAUCUAUCAAGGGGCAACAUACCAAUACCAACUCUACGCAUUACUACUCUCCUACAUCCUACUCUUGCAAAGAUUUGGCCUAAAAUCUCAAGAACAACAUGCAUCUCCCCAAAAACCUAGAGACGAAAGAACAAACCAAAGAGAGAGGGAUUUGGGGAGAAACCUUGUUCCAUGACAAGAGGGUGAGGUGGGGAUCGAUCCCACCGGUCGGAAUGCGAGGAGAGUAGCCGAAGACGGAGAUCCGGCGAGGUCCUCCGGCGCCGUUCUUGGGCAGGAGAGAGAGAGACUUCGUGGGAAAAAAUAGUUGAAUGGGUAUGGGGGAGUUGGAACUCCCCCUGCCCGCUCUUAACCCCCACGCGCUCGCGUCUGCGUGGUAGUACCACGGGUCACCGCGGUAGUAUCGCCCGGGCGGAAGUACCGCACACUGGGCGCUAGUACCGCUCGUCCAGCGGCAGUAAAAAAUUACUGCUGUGCUGGGUGCGGUAGUACCGUGCGCAGCUCCUGCGGUAGUACCGUGGCAUGCCACGGUAGUACCGCAGACCCAAGAAAAUGCAUGUUUCGCAAAAGAGAAAAACAGCCUUUGCAAUACACCCUUCAAAUGAACGGACACACCAAGAACACACACACGAGGCAACUCAAACACAAGCUCGGCUCGAAGAAAGAAAGACAAAGGACCACAAGGACCAAACAAGCGACACAACCUCUCCAAAGAGAGGGCGGUGGCCGAAUCCACAUAUGUUUGAGUCAAUUGGUAUGGCACCGUGAAGAAUUAUCCUUGGGUCCAUGACCAAAACUCGUCUUUGAAGCACAAGUACCAUAAAAAUGGCUAAUGUGAAAGAGUUGAUCAAUUUAUGCAUAAUGGGGGAAGGGAGAGUUCAUUGUGAGAACGACACUCUCCCUAUGUACAUGCCUACACCUAAACAAGAUAACAAGUUGAGUAUGGUGGGGUGUGCAAGGGUUCAAGCCACAUUGCUCGAAUCAAUGAUAUUUAGCUCAUGCCUUAACUCACGAAAUCUUGCUUCAUCCAAGGGCUUCAUGAAGAUAUCUGCAAGGUUAUCAUGAGUGUUGACAUAGUUGAGCUCGACCUCCCCUCGCCGAAUGUGAUCCCGGAUGAAGUGACACCGAAUCUCAACGUGCUUCGUCUUGAAGUGUUGCACCGGGUUGAGAGAAAUCUUGAUGGCACUUUCAUUGUCACACCAAAGAGGCACUUUGUCACAAAUGACACUGUAAUCCUUUAAAGUUUGCCUCAUCCAUAGAAGUUGUGCACAACAACUACCGGCGGCCACAUACUCCGCAUUGGUGGACGAGAGAGACACACAACUUUGCUUCUUAGAAGACUAACUCACCAAAGAGCAACCAAGGAAUUGGCACCCUCUGGACAUGGACUUCCUAUCCACUUUGUCUCCCGCCCAAUCAGAGUCCGAAUAGCCUACAAGAUUGAAGUUUGCUCCUCUUGGGUACCAUAAGCCAAAGUUUGGGGUAUGAGCCAAAUAUCGAAAGAUCCGCUUGACCGCCACAAAGUGGCUUUCCUUAGGCGCGGCUUUAAACCGUGCACAAAUUCCCACACUCAACAUGAUAUCCGGUCUAGAUGCACAAAGGUAAAGCAAGGAGCCAAUCAUGGAACGAUAUACCUUUUUGAUCCACCGCUUUACCAUUGGGAUCUAUGUCAAGUUGGCAUUUGACGGGCAUUGGAGUGGAAGCCGGCUUGACAUCACUUAGCUUGAAUCUCUUGAGCAUGUCUUGAGUGUAUUUGACUUGGUUGAUGAAGGUUCCUUCUCUUCUUUGCUUGACUUCGAAUCCGAGAAAGAACUUCAACUCUCCCAUCGAGGACACCUUGAACUUUGAGGUCAUGAGAGCGGCAAAUUCCUCAUUGAAAGCUUUGUUAGGGGAACCAAAGAUAAUAUCAUCAACAUAUAGUUGGCACACAAACAACUCCCCUUUGACCUUCUUAGUAAAAAGAGUGGGGUUGAUUUUCCCAAUUUCAAAACCCCCGAUCUUGCAACAACUCGAUAAGGUGGUCAUACCACGCACGUAGGGCUUGUUUAAGGCCGUAGAGUGCCUUAUCGAGUUGGUACACAUGAUCGGGGAAAUAGGGAUCCUCGAACCCGGGUGGUUGUUUGACAUACACCAACUCACUAAUAGGACCAUUAAGAAAAGCACUCUUCACAUCCAUUUGUUGCAACUUAAAGUUAUGAUGAGAGGCAUAAGCAAUCAACAAACGAAUGGAUUCAAGGCGAGCAACGGGAGCAAAGGUUUCACCGUAGUCGAUACCCUCGACUUGGGAGUAGCCUUGUGCUACCAAUUGAGCCUUUUUGCGAACGAUAAUCCCAUGAGCAUCUUGCUUGUUCUCGAAUAUCCACUUGGUUCCAAUGACGUUAUGGUUCCCCGUCGGCCUUGGCACCAAUCUCCAUACCUUGUUGUGCUCGAAGUUGUUGAGUUCUUCAUGCAUGGCAUUAAGCCAAUCCAGAUCCUUCAGCGCCUCAUAGACCUUUUGGGGUUCAACACAAGAGACAAACGCGUGAUGUUCACAAUAGUUUGCUAAUUUUCUACGAGUGCUUACCCCCUUUUGGAUGCUUCCAAGCACAUUCGUCAUGAGAUGACCCUUGGUAGUGAGCUUGGAUGCAAUCUUGGUGGCACGACGCUCCAAUUCCUCCUCAGGUGUGAGUUGAGGAGCGGUAACUUGAUCAUCUUGAGCGUCGUCAUGAGCUUGUUCUUGAUCUUGAGGUUGCUCUUGAUCUUGAACUUGCUCGGAGGUGAGAACUUGACCCUAGGCAUCACUUGGUGAUUCAACAACGUCUUGAGGUUGAUCUUGCCCUUGAUCUUGUUCAUGAGGUUGAGGGCCUUCACUUUGUUCUUCAGAAGCGUGUGGGUCUUGGGUUGGUGAUGGUUCCACUUGAGUGGAACAUUGUCCUUCUCCUUCGGCCACAAGGGCAUCCUCAAUGGGUAGGAUAAAACCAACAUCCAUUCUUCUUAUGGCUUGGGGAGGAAUUUCAUCACCUACAUCACAAGUGCCACUUUGCUCCACUUGGGAGCCGUUAUUCUCAUCAAACUCCACGUUACACGUCUCCUCAAUAAGUCCCGUGGACUUAUUGAGGACACGGUAAGCAUGAGAGUUUGUAGCAUAACCAACAAAUAUGCUCUCUUGAGCUCUAUCCUCAAAUUUGGACAAACGAGCACCUUUCUUGAGAAUGAAACACUUACACCCGAACACCCGAAAGUACUUGAGGUUGGGCUUGUUACAGGUGAGUAUCUCAUAUGGAGUCUUGUUCAAGCCUUUGCGGAGAUAGAGCCGAUUGGAUGCAUGACACGCGGUGUUGAUGGCUUCGGCCCAAAAGUUUUAUGGCGACUUGAACUCCGCAAUCAUGGUCCUUGCCGCAUCCAUCAACGUCCGGUUCUUCCUCUCCGCUACACCAUUUUGUUGAGGGGUGUAAGGUGCGGAAUAUUGAUGCUUGAUCCCCUCAUUACUAAGAAACUCAUCCAAGGUGUAAUUCUUGAACUCGAUGCCGUUGUCACUUCUUAUUGUCAAGAUCUUUGCAUUGUGUUGGCGUCGAGCUUUAUUUGCAAAGUCAAUGACAGUUUGUUGAGUCUCACUCUUCCUCUUGAAGAAUAUACCCAAGUGUAUCUUGAAUAGUCAUCCACAAUCACCAAGCAAUACUUCCUACCCCCUAGACUAUCAAAGGAUAGAGGCCCAAAGAGAUCCAAGUGAAGGAGCUCCAAGGGCCUCUUUGAGUAGAUGAUAGUCGUGGGAGGGUGAGCCUUCUCAUGUAGCUUUCCUUCGAUGCAAGCACUGCAAGCACGAUCUUUGGCAAAACUAACAUUUGUUAGUCCAUGGACAUGGUCCCCCUUGAGAAGACUUUGCAAAGAUCUCAUAUUGACAUGGGCUAAACGGCGAUGCCAAAGCCACCCCACGUCAACUUUAGCCAUUAGGCAUGUCGCGGUCUUAGUGGGUCGCUCCGAAAAGUUAAUCACAUAGAGACCGUUCUCGACAUGCCCAACAAAGGCUACUUUAAGAGUCUUGCUCCACAAGAGGGCCACGGUAUCAAUAUCAAAGAAAGUGUCAAAGCCCAUGAUUGCAAGUUGACGAACGAAAAAUAAAUUGUAUGCAAGGGACUCAACAAACAUGACCUUCUCGAUCGUGAGAUCAUGAGAAAUGACAACCUUGCCAAGUCCCAAUACCUUAGAGGACGAGGUGUCACCCCACUCGACAUUGGUGGGUAUAUAGAUGGAAUCUUGUGCACGUCCACCACCAAGUCCUUGCUUCCGGUCAUAUGAUUAGUGGCUCCACUAUCGAGCAACCAUGAUCCCCCACCGGAAGCAAACACCUACAAGAGAUCAAUGCUUGGUUUUAGGUACCCAUUUUGUAAUGGGUCCUUUGAUGUUAGUGACAAGGGUCUUAGGAACCCAAAUAGACCAUUCAAUGUACUCAUAAGGAGAAUCAACAAAUUUAGCAUAAACAUGUCCAUCACUAGCACGGCAUAACACAUAGGAAGAGUUAAAAUUGCCGGCUUUGUUGGAAGGGGUGGUGUCGUGGAAUUGUCACGGCAGAUGUCCUCGGGUUGGGACUUAGUCGUGGAGCCAUCGCAAUUGGGAAGCUUGAAGGGGUUAAGCGGGACAAGGAACACGAGGGUUUAUACUGGUUCGGCCCCUUACGGUGAAGGUAAAAGCCUACGUCCAGUUCGAGGUGUUAUUGAUUAGGGUUACGAUUGCCAGGGAGCUAAACAGCUAUGACCGGCUCCCGAUCAAAUUGUUGUCGCCCUUAAACCGCUGCCGGGUCGUCCCUUUAUAUAGGGAGGCUGACGCCCAGCAGCCCUUAGAGUCCCGGCCGGCUCAUAAGAGUGUCCGGCUCGGACUCUAAACAAUACUUGCCUUACACUACAAGUCUACUAUAACAAUGAUUGUAACUACGGGCUUUAAGCUAUAUCCUGGUCUCCGCCCAUCUCUGGCCCAUUAUCCUGAAACUUAGCUCCGGGCUUCCGGUAAUGAUCCUUGGAGUAACCCGGCCCUCCUGGCGGGUGACCCCCAGGUCUAUAUCCUCAACAUUAGGCCCCAGAUUGACUUGAGCCGGCUCGUGUCAAUCUUCAGCUCUGCAGACAGAAAAAUUCUCCGGCUUACCAUUCAUGUGAAGGUCAUAACCCGGAGUGACGUCAUCCUCUGGACUCCGGAUAAUCCGCCGUGACGUCAUCCUCCAUUAAGUCCGUUUUUUACUCCGCCAGAUCCGCAAUGGAUCUUUACUUUUACUGUCUUUGCGAAAAUCGAGGCGCCGUGAGGGGGAGAUAACCACGCCGUGGCCUCCUUGAAUCCCGCGCCCACUUAUGACUCGGCCUUAUAAAUAGGCCGGCCCGGCACUCUCUUCUCACACUCUCCUUCUUCUUCCUCGCGCUGCCGUUCCUCUGCCCGAGCUUCUGCCGCCGCCGCCGCCGUCGCGCCCCUGAUCUUCACCGACCCGGCCGCUGCAUCACCCUGACCCGGACCAGAUAGCGGCGGCGACCUUCGCUCUUCCUCAACUCCGGUGAGUCUUCCCUGCCUUGCUAGAACAAAUCUGUGGUAGGGUUCAUCUUGUGUUCUUCGCGUUCUUCACCAUUGCCGCAAGUUUCGGUAACCCCUGUAGCCACUGCCCCCGUUGAUCUUAACUCUUCAUAGACCCUUUGCAGUAACUGCUCGAGAUCCAUUCUAUCUGCAAAAAAUCCUCUUUUCACUGCUUAAAAACCAUGUUCCACCUUAAGAACUUCUCCUGUUUCUGUUUCUUUAGGUCUAGAAAAUUUUCAUCUUGCCCGACCAUUUUGAUCCGAAAAAGUUACUGUAAUGUAUGAAAUCUGUUUUACCACACUUAGUAAAAACUGCAACCCUUGAAUCUUGGCGGCUUAUAUUUCCGACUUAAAGAAAACACGCGCCGUAGAACCUUUCCGGUUUAAAGAGAACCAUGCUCUGUAGUAUCUUCCGACUUAACCGUAGUAAGCCGCAGAUGACCAACUCAUCCUGAAUACUCCGACGGCUUAAAUAACCCACCAUGUCAAUACAUACCAUUAGUCCCCUUCAUAAGCCAUCAUUGUAACUUGAAUGAUAAACUCCGGCUUAUAAUUAACCCGGACACUUUCCUCUUUAUCAUAGAUCACCAACCGUCACCAUGCCUCCCAAAGCUCCCAUCACUUGCAACUGGAUGAGAUCCAACAUCACUGAUGAGACCCUGGCCAACUUUGUUAAGUCCGGAUAUCUGCCCAGAAAGGAAGUGAUGUCCUACCGUGCCCCUGACCCGUCCGAAGAGAGACCUCAGCCGAGGGACGGGGAGGUAGUGAUCUUUGCAGACCAUAUGAGCCGGGGCUUCGCACCGCCCGGCUCAAAAUUCUUCCGGGACGUGCUCAACUUUUUUGACCUUCGGCCUCAGGAUAUAGGACCCAAUUCCGUAUCCAACAUCUGCAACUUCCAAGUUUUUUGUGAAGUAUAUCUUGGAGAAGAGCCGAGUCUGCUGCUCUUCAGAGAGCUGUUUUAUUUGAACCGCCAAACCGAGUGCGCAAACGGCCCAAGUCUAGAGCUAGGCGGCAUCUCCAUCCAACGGCGCAGGGACUGCCUAUUUCCUUACGCAGAACCGCCAAGUCACCCCAAGGACUGGAACAUGACUUGGUUCUACUGCCAAGACACGUCCCCGGCUGAUGAAAGCCCGCUGCCCGGCUUUCGCCCAACGCGCCUGGAGCCGACUCAUACGCUAUCCGACAAGCUGUCUGCCGCGGAACGCCAGCCUCUGCUUCCAACGAUCAAUAAGAUCAAGGCCCUGCUAGGCAACGGUCUGAACGGAAUAGACCUGGUCCGGGUCUGGAUCUCUUGGCGGGUGAUCCCGUUGAGCCGCCGCCCCGGCUUAAUGUGUGAGUACACCGGGCGAAAGGAUGACCCGCAGAGGAACAGUCGCAAUGAUCUUCCAGAAGACGUUGCUGAAGAAGAGACCAAGGCUCUGCUAAACGAGAGCCUGGCAGACUGUGGAAGAACCGGGCUAGCCCCGUUCUGCAAGACCAAUCCAGCCCCAGCGGUAAGCCGCUGACUUUAACCUUUCCAUUUUGUUUUACCCGUCCUUUUACUAAGAGCUCAUUACUGUAUUUCGCAGGCUGAUGAUAAAUUCUGGCGGGUCAAGUAUGACCAUGAGGCGGCCAAGAAGGCCAGGAAGGCGAAGAAAGCCGCCAAGAGAGCCGCCCCUCGCAAAAAGGGAAACAGACCCACUGCUUCGGAGCUGCUGCAAUUAAGCGAUAGCUCCGAGUCAGAGGUAACCCUUAAACCUUUUAAAUUCUUGCAGUAUAUGUUGUCUGAUGCUGUCCGCCUUAUCAACACUUGCUUACUGACAGGACGACACCGGCGCCAGUAACCCGGUGAUUGAAGAGGUAACGUUACUCCCCUCCGACUCGGAGCCUUUGCCACAGCUGAAAGUCCGAAGGGUAACCCGGAAAGUAAGCUUUUCUCAUCCAUUAGCUCAUCAAGACCCUCAAUUCCUUUUGAAGCAGCAGGUUCACGAGAGCCGGCGUCACACCCGGGCCCGCAAGGACACCGACCUCUCCACCGGGUUACCCGACGCAACGAGGAAACACUGCACUGAGGUUUUUUCUCACCUGUACCCUUUUCAUCCGUUGGCGGGUGUCAUCCGUCAGCCACUCAACUCUUCUGACUCCAACUACCAGGAGACCUCCCCCUCUUCGGGUGACUCCAUGCAGUCAAGUCUGCCGGCCUUCAAGACUGCCCCCGGGUAAUAACAAUCUCCUUACAUCAUCUGUCUGUACUUACCCUUUGUAUGCCUAACACUUCUGCCUUUUCAGUGCCCAGGCAAAGCUCACCAAAAGAGCAAAGAAGACAAGGUCAGCCGGAGUGCCAGACUUGCCUGAGCCGGAGACGACGGCUCAAGAACCGCCAGCCGCCUCCGCCCCCGAAGCCACCAUUCCCAUGGACACGACGCCUGAAGCCCCUGCCCCGAGCACCAAGAGAACAACCGAAGCAUCAGCUAACCCGGAGGCGUCCGGCUCAGCCCCACCAGCUAACGACCCGGACGUGGUAAUUACCCGGACGGAGUAUGUUGAGCCGGGGAGGCCGACCGCACUGGCCAAAUGCUCCGCGAAGGGGGAGUUGCUGCAACCCCAUCGGGUGAAUCUGGAUCUCUCCAGCUACACCGAUUUAAGCAUUGGAGAGCUUGUCUCAGGCUAUAUCAGCCAGGUUCACAAGAGCCGAGACGCCGAGAUCGCCAUGGUCAACCAGAUCCAACAGAAAUCUGAGGUAACCUUCUGCUGUUUUCUUAUUUCUGCAAAGUGAUCCUUGUCAUUCUAGCCCCCAAGUCUAGGGCUUAUACUUGAACAUGUUGUAGACUUUAGAUUCCGGCUUACUGAACUGAGCCGGCCGUACAUAGAUAGAUACGUUCAAUAUGCAUUAGCCCCCAAGUGCCAAGUGUCUUUGCUUGGAAAGCGCUUGGGACUUUAUAGAAUGACUGUUAAGAACCCGGAAAUAUAUGCAGGCUGUUGGCAAGAAAUUAGAGUCGGACCUGGCGGAUCUCAAGAGCCGGCUGAAGGCACAAGAGAUGGAGACCCGGAAGGCGAAUGCCAAGUUUGUCUCCAGCAUCGCCGCUCAGGAGAAAUUGAAGACUGAAUUCGACGCUGAGCGGAAGGCCUGGGCUGAGGAGAAAGCUGCACUGGUGACCCGGGCAGAACAGGCGGAGAAGGCCCUCACUGAGAAGACCGCUGAGCUCUCCGGUCUAAAGCGCCAAGUGUCCCAAAUGGUAGCUGCCAUCUUCAGUAAGUCGCUUCACCGGCUUUCAUUCACGUUGGAAUGUUUACAUCUCUUAACUCAUCCUUAUCACCGGGUCAUCUGAUGUUGUUAAACAGGUUCCAGAAGCGCCAACUUGAACCAGAGCGUGGUCACCAAGUUAAAGGCCGUGUACACCCUGGUGGAACAGCUCUACACCGGGUCACAACGGGCCUUAGCUGUGGUGGCCCUGUCGAAUGAAGUGCCGACUCAUCUGGCCGAAGUCCUGCGCCGGCUCGCAGUUCUGCCGCAGCGGAUCCAGGAGCUACGACGAGCAUCCGCGAGAUCCGGAGCAAUCGCCGCACUGAGCCGGGCCAAAGCCUUCUUGCCGGAGCUAGACCCCGCAGACAUCGCCCUGGGUUACCCCAGCCUGAAAGAAGACGGCUCAGCGUUCGACCAGAAGGACUUCGCGGCUUGUGUGAAGGCUGUGCGCCCGGUGGCCACCAUCAUCGGGAACGACACCGAUUUAACCAAGUAUCAGCCGGGAUACAACGCGGAGAAUCAGAGGAUUCCAACCCCUCGCUAUGAAGCUAUCAAUCUGAUUCCCCCGGCUCGCCAGCACACCUUCGCCCCGGAGAUUAACCCGGCCGGGUUAAUUGACGAAGAAGCUCAGUUCGAAGCUCUCAGUGGCAUCAACUGGAAGUCGUCGACCUUCGAAGCCUUGGGAUCAGCCGGAGCAGAAGAUGAGCCGGGGACUUCGACUCAGCAGGCGUCAUAAACCGGCUAGCGGCUCACCAAACAACGCUCCACCCUUGAAACUUUGAAAUUUUUUUGUAAUAGAAUAGGUGCAACAAUUUAUCUCUGCCGUGCCAUCGUGCAUGUAAUGAAUGCUGAAAUCCUUUGAAGUCAUUCUUUUUGAUGCUCCUCCGGGUUAUAAUUAUCCUUCGUGCUUCUCAACCUUUUAAAAAAGUACCUUUAAGUAUCUGCAUAAGAAGGCAAAUCACAAGUCACAAGGCGGCUUACCGCCCUAAGAAUCAGGUGUCUGAGAUGGAUAACUCGGAAAUUCAAACCAAAAAGACUGGUCCUUAACUAUAUUCCGAACAUAAUCGUGAUAACACACUCAACAGCUUGUAAGCAUACUUCCGGGUUAAAUAACCCGGGUAGCACGGUUAGUAUCUGAACUCGAAUUUACUUGUCUUGAUGACAUCCAUGAUGCUCAACUAACAAGAUAAACCAAAAUUAAGCCGGCAAGUGAAACCCGGCAGUACAUACUUUGACAUGAUCAGAGUAAACUUGUGGUAAAAUGUAAAAAUUUAAGGGCUUCCGGUUCGAAUACGACCAGAACCUCGGUCCAAAGGGGUUAAGCUAAGAUUCGGAUACGAUCAUAUAGCCCCCAGUGGGUUCGGCGAUGCCAAUCAAGAGGGUAUCGACAGCUAUGUUCUCUUGGGUUCGAAUACGACCCAUGUUUGAACAGGAAGCCCCCAAGUGAUUCUGAAAAUUGUUUAACGACGCUGAUUCGAAUACGAUCCACGUCGGUUCUCAGAGGGGUUAAGCUAUGAUUCAAAUAUGACCAAAGGCAACCUCCCAAUGAGCUCGGCACGUUGCCAAUCAAAUGGGUAUCGAUAGCUAUGUUCUUCUUUGGUUCGAAUACGACCCAUGUGUGAACAGGAAGCCCCCAAGUGACUUUAUUGCUUACAGCUAGAUUUGAAGAUGAUCAUAAGCCGGAUCUUCUGUAAGUCAGCAUGUAAAAAACAACACACAUAUUUGGGAGAGAGCAAAGGACAAAGGUCCUGCUUUAUUGCUUUAUCAUAAUAUAUACAUGGCUGAGAUAAAUAUGUACAUCACAAGAGCCGGUAGCUCAAGUGUAGUAAGGCCGAAGCUGAGCUAUGUUCCACGGCCGACGGGUCUCCUCCUCAGAUUUACGCGAGUCCUUAUGCUCCCGGAUAUCAAUGAGGUAAUAUGACCCGUUGUGCAAGUUCUUACUGACCACAAAAGGCCCUUCCCAAGGUGGGGAUAACUUGUGUGCAUCUGUUUGAUCCUGGAUGAGCCGGAGCACCAGGUCGCCUUCCUGAAAGACCCGGGACUUGACCCGGCGGCUAUGAUAAUGGCGCAGGUCUUGUUGGUAAAUUGCUGAACGGGCUGCUGCCACAUCACGCUGUUCGUCCAACAGGUCCAGAGCAUUCUGGCGCGCCUGUUCAUUAUCCGUCUCAACAUAAGCCGCCACACGAGGUGAAUCAUGACGGAUGUCGCUGGGGAGAACUGCUUCUGCUCCAUAAACCAUGAAGAAAGGCGUGAAUCCUGUAGACCUGUUAGGAGUAGUGUUGAUGCUCCAUAAGACGGAGGGCAAUUCCUCCACCCAACAACCCGUCGUCCGUUGCAAAGGGACCAAAAGCCGGGGUUUGAUGCCCUUCAGAAUCUCCUGGUUAGCUCUCUCAGCUUGACCAUUGGACUGGGGAUGAGCCACUGAAGAAACAUCAAGCCGGAUAUGCUCUCGUUGACAAAACUCUUCCAUAGCACCCUUGGAUAGAUUGGUGCCAUUGUCAGUUAUGAUGCUGUGCGGAAAGCCAAAACGGAAAAUCACCUUUUUCAUAAAUUGAACCGCCGUAACUGCAUCGCACUUGCUAACUGGCUCAGCUUCCACCCACUUCGUGAAUUUGUCAACCACCACCAAGAGGUGGGUCUUCUUAUCCUUGGACCAUUUAAAAGGCCCAACCAUAUCAAGCCCCCAGACUGCAAAGGGCCAAGUGAUUGGGAUCAUCCUCAACUCCUGAGCCGGCACAUGAGCCCGUCGUGAGAACCUUUGGCAGCCAUCACAUUUACUGACCAAGUCCUCUGCAUCAGCGUGAGCCGUCAGCCAAUAAAAACCAUGACGGAAAGCCUUGGCCACAAGAGAUUUUGAACCGGCAUGAUGGCCACAAUCCCCUUCAUGGAUCUCGCGCAGGAUCUCUUGACCUUCCUCAGGGGAGAUACAACGCUGGAAUGCCCCUGAAACACUGCGAUGAUGCAACUCGCCAUCGAUAACAAUCAUUGACUUAGCCCGCCGGGUUAUUUGCCUGGCCAGAAUUUCAUCCUCAGGCAACUCUCCCCGGGUUAUAUAAGCCAGAUAUGGCAUUGUCCAGUCUGGUAUGAUAUGAAGAGCCGCCACCAGUCGUGCCUCCGGGUCAGGGAUAGCCAAGUCCUCCUCUGUAGGCAACUUGACCGAACGGUUGUACAGGACAUCCAGGAAAGUGUUAGGCGGCACCGGCUUUCGCUGAGAGCCUAGCCGGCUUAACGCGUCAGCCGCCUCGUUCCGCCUGCGAUCAAUAUGCUCCACUUGGUAUCCCUGGAAGUGCCCGGCAAUGGCAUCAACCUCGCGGCGAUAAGCCGCCAUUAGAGGAUCCUUAGAAUCCCAGGUGCCAGAUACUUGUUGAGCCACCAAGUUCGAGUCACCAAAACACCUCACCCGGCUUAAGCUCAUCUCCUUAGCCACCCGAAGACCGUGGAGCAAAGCCUCGUAUUCCGCCGCAUUGUUAGUGCAAGGAAACAUCAACCGUAGCACAUAAUGGAACUUGUCACCUUUAGGGGAAGCCAAGACAACACCAGCCCCCGAGCCCUCCAGCUGCCUGGACCCAUCAAAGUGAAUAGUCCAAUAAGUGUUAUCCGGCUUUUGCUCGGGUACUUGUGACUCUGUCCAAUCAUUGAUGAAAUCUACCAAGGCCUGAGACUUGACAGCAGUGCGUGGCACAUAUUUAAGGUCAUGAGGUCCAAGUUCUAUAGCCCACUUAGCAAUUCUCCCUGUAGCCUCUCUGUUUUGGAUAAUAUCACCAAGAGGGGCGGAACUGACCACAGUAAUGGGAUGACCCUGAAAAUAAUGCUUAAGCUUCCGGCUCGCCAUAAACACCCCAUACACAAGCUUCUGCCAAUGUGGAUACCUCUGCUUGGACUCAAUGAGCACCUCACUGAUAUAAUAAACCGGCCGCUGAACCGGAUGCUCCUUACCAGCCUCCUUGCGCUCCACCACAAUAGCCACGCUGACGGCUCGAGCGUUUGCCACCACAUACAGCAGCAAGGGCUCCUUAUCAACCGGAGCAGCAAGGACAGGGGGCUCUGCCAGUUGCUUUUUCAAAUCCUCAAAAGCGGUAUUAGCUGCAUCAUUCCAGAUGAAGUUGUCAGUUUUCCUCAUCAACUGAUAUAAGGGCAUAGCCUUCUCACCCAAACGACUUAUAAACCGGCUUAAAGCAGCGAUGCGACCCGCCAAACGCUGAACGUCAUUUACGCACGCCGGCCUAGCCAAGGAAGUGAUGGCCUUGAUCUUCUCCGGGUUAGCCUCAAUGCCUCUGUCAGAAACCAAGAAACCCAAUAGUUUGCCUGCAGGAACACCGAAAACACAUUUAGCCGGGUUAAGCAUCAUCUUAUAGACCCGGAGAUUGUCGAAGGUUUCCCUUAAGUCAUCUAUCAGGGUUCCCUCCUUGAUGGAUUUAACCACAAUGUCGUCCACAUAAGCGUGAACAUUGCGCCCGAUCUGUUUAUGAAGACAAUUCUGCACACAACGCUGGUAAGUCGCCUGUGCACACUUGAGUCCAAAGGGCAUAGACACAUAGCAGAAGGCUCCAAAGGGAGUGAUGAACGCCGUCUUCUCCUGGUCCUUAACUGCCAUCUUAAUCUGAUGAUACCCGGAAUAAGCAUCCAAGAAACUUAAGCGUGCACAACCUGCCGUAGCAUCAAUGAUUUGAUCGAUACGGGGGAGAGCAAAAGGAUCAGCCGGACACGCCUUGUUCAAGUCCGUGUAAUCCACACACAUCCGCCAGGUGCCGUUCUUUUUAAGUACAAGCACCGGGUUAGCCAACCACUCUGGGUGAAAAACCUCAACAAUGAACCCGGCCGCCAAAAGCCGGGCCACUUCUUCACCAAUAGCCUUCCGCCUCUCUUCAUUAAACCGUCGAAGGAACUGUCUGACCGGCUUAAAUUUUGGAUCAACAUUGAGAGUGUGCUCAGCGAGUUCUCUAGGUACACCUGGCAUGUCAGAAGGUUUCCAUGCAAAGAUGUCCCUAUUCUCACGGAUGAACUCGAUGAGCGCGCCUUCCUAUUUCGGGUCCAGAUUUGCACUGAUGCUGAACUGCUGAGACGAGUCACCUGGAACAAAAUCAACAAGUUUAGUCUCAUCAGCUGAUUUAAACUUCAUUGCUGGUUCAUUCUCCGUGGUUGGCUUUUUCAGAGAGGUCAUAUCUGUUGGGUCAACAUUGUCUUUAUAAAAUUUCAACUCUUCUGUGGCACAAACAGACUCUGCAUAAGCCGCGUCACCUUCCUCACACUCCAGAGCCACUUUCCGGCUGCCGUGAACCGUAAUGGUCCCAUUGUGACCCGGCAUCUUGAGUUGUAAGUACACAUAACACGGCCGUGCCAUGAACUUGGCGUAAGCCGGCCGUCCGAAUAUAGCAUGGUAUGGACUUCUUAUCUUGACCACCUCAAAGGUCAACUUUUCCACCCUGUAGUUGUUCUCAUCACCGAAGGCCACUUCCAGUUCGAUCUUGCCGACUGGAUAAGCCGAUUUACCAGGUACCACACCAUGGAAGAUAGUAUUUGACUGGCUGAGGUUCUUAUCAACUAGCCCCAUACGACGGAAAGUCUCAUAAUAGAGGAUGUUGAUGCUGCUGCCUCCAUCCAUGAGUACCUUUGUGAACUUAUAGCCUCCCACUUGAGGAGCCACCACUAAGGCCAGGUGGCCCGGGUUAUCCACCCGGGGAGGGUGAUCCUCCCUACUCCACACUAUGGGCUGCUCCGACCACCGUAAAUAGCGUGGAACUGCCGGCGCGACAGCAUUAACAGCCCUCUUGUGAAGCUUUUCGUCUCGUUUGCACAAACUAGUGGUGAACACGUGAUACUGUCCACCGCUAAGCUGCUUUGGGUUGGUCUGAUAGCCCCCCCUGUUGCUGUUGAUGACCCUGACCAGACUGUUGAUUAAAGCCCCCUUGACCGUUCUGAGGACCGGAAUUUGACCCGCCGCCCGGGCCAUGGAAGCCGCCAGCGCCGGAGCCGCCUGCGCCUGAGCCGCCGCCCGGGCCAUGUAGUUUUUAAAUGCCUUCAUGAUAGCACAAUCCUUCCACAGGUGAGUCGCUGGCUUCUCUCUAGAGCCGUGUCUCGGACAAGGUUCAUUCAACAGCUGCUCCAGAGAAGGUCCUGACCCGCCGCCUCGGGGAGGGGGCCUCCCCUUGCGUCGCUGGUUGUUGCCUUGGGCAUUGGCUACGAACUCCAGGCUGCCAUCGGCCUUGCGCUUGCCUCCUCCUUGAUUCCCCGGGUUAAACUGAGGACCCUUGCCAUUGCCGUUCUUCUUUCCCUUCCCUGUCCUUUCAUCAUCUGAAGGGGGAUCCUUGGUACCAUCAGAAUCGGCGUACUUGACAAGAGCCGCCAUUAGUGUACCCAUAUCCGUGCAGUCGCGUUUAAGCCGCCCAAGUUUCAUCUUUAGGGGCACAAAACGACAGUUCUGUUCUAACAUCAAGACUGCAGAGCCGGCGUCCAUCUUAUCUGAUGAAUGUAUGAUCUCCUUGACCCGGCGAACCCAAUGGGUCGUGGAUUCACCCUCCUGCUGCUUACAGUUAGUCAAAUCCACAAUUGACAUAGACUGCCUACAGGUAUCCUUGAAGUUUUGAAUGAACCGGGCCUUCAGCUCAGCCCAAGACCCAAUGGAGUUCGGUGGCAGCCCUUUUAACCACAUGCGGGCAGUUCCAUCUAACAUCAUGGUGAAAUAUUUGGCCAUGGCCGCCUCGCUGACCUCUAGCAGUUCCAUAGCCAUCUCAUAACUCUCAAUCCAGGCCGCAGGCUGUAAGUCAGCUGUAUAGUUAGGCACCUUCCUAGGGCCCUUGAAAUCCUUAGGUAGACGUUCAUUACGGAUGGCCGGCACCAAACAAGGGACACCCCCGGUCCUGGUAGAAAUACCCACAUCAAGGGACGCCGUCGGAUAAGCCGGGGGGUCUGAUGAGCCGUCAAUUGCGGCACCUGCUCCGCCUCUUGCCGUGCUUGGUCUGCUGCGUAGAAGGCUCCAACAUGAGCCGGGCCAUGGCCAGGGGGUGGGUCAUGGCGUCGGACAUUACUUGAGCCGGUCGCUGAGACCAUGUGCCGGCUGUAACUCGGGCUCUGGCCUGGGCGAGGAGUUGAGUGGAUCCUGUCCCGGCCGUAGGAGUACGCCUCUUGCUGUGCUAGAGCCGUCUGCAGGAGUUCCCUGACCCGGCGGGUUUCGACGGCUGCCGGAGAAUUGCCGUCAACGGGAAGAGCCGCCAGUCGUGCUACCGCAGCUACCAUGUUCUCCAGCGGGUUAUCGUAAUGACCCGGGGGUAUCGGCACAUACUGAGGCGGGGCAGGGGGCACCUGGGGAGGCCCCAUUACUAGUGGCUGAAUAAGGGGUCCCGACCCGGGCGCAAUGCCCCCUGGUGGGUUACUGGAUUCCGCACCCGGCGUGUUGAAGAGAUUGCGCGGAUCGUAAAUCGGCGGGAGUCGAGACUGGGCCUUCUGAUGCCUCCUUCUCAUGACCUCGUUGGCCGCGUUCUGAUCCAUCGUGAGUUGGAAGGACUGCGCCUGAAUCAACUGAGUCCGGGCGUCGAGAGCCGCCCGCUCCGUCGCCAGCCUGAUCCCUUCUGCUGCAAGAUCCUCUUUAGCUUUCAUCAGAUCCAAUUUUAACUGUGCCACCUCCGCGUCAUGCUGGGCUUGAUCUGCCGGGUCAACCGUGGCGGUUAACAGGGCCGUCAUCUUGUCCGUGAGAUUCAUCAGCACCUGAGCCGGAGAAGGCACUGGGUUUCCCGAUCCAGCAGCGGGGUUCUGAACAGGCUGUGCACCAGCCAUAAAAACUCCGACCUGACUUGGCGGCUCAAAAAGGUCCGGCAUACUGUUGCCAUCUGAAUAACUCAUGAGUCUGCCAUCUUGAAGCUGGUACAACGAGUUUGACUCAUCAGCGGCCGACUCGCCGUCAGAGCCGGCGGCCGCCUCAUCCCCAGACCCAGAUGGAUCAGAGGGCCUUCCAUGGAUGCAUCCCACAAAAGCGUGCUUUAAGGCAGGCCGGGCCCGGGCGGGUCGUGCGCGCUGAGCCGUUUCGAUGAGAUUGGCGCAGAGAUCCGGCUCGGGGCCCGUCUCACCAAUCUUGCCAAUGAAGACAUGAAUUCCGCCAAAGGGGACCCGGUACCCGUACUCCACUGAGCCGGCGUCGGGGCCCCAGUCCGCAUCGUCGAUGUAGAGCUUGCCGCGACGACUCUUGGUCAUCCGGCCCACAGCGUAUCCCUUGAGCCCUUCGAAGCUGCCCUUCAAGAACUCAAAUCCACCGUGCGCCAGCCCCACGGUGGGCGCCAACUGUCGUGGAAUUGUCACGGCAGAUGUCCUCGGGUUGGGACUUAGUCGUGGAGCCAUCGCAAUUGGGAAGCUUGAAGGGGUUAAGCGGGACAAGGAACACGAGGGUUUAUACUGGUUCGGCCCCUUACGGUGAAGGUAAAAGCCUACGUCCAGUUCGAGGUGUUAUUGAUUAGGGUUACGAUUGCCAGGGAGCUAAACAGCUAUGCCCGGCUCUCGAUCAAAUUGUUGUCGCCCUUAAACCGCUGCCGGGUCGUCCCUUUAUAUAGGGAGGCUGACGCCCAGCAGCCCUUAGAGUCCCGGCCGGCUCAUAAGAGUGUCCGGCUCGGACUCUAAACAAUACUUGCCUUACACUACAAGUCUACUAUAACAAUGAUUGUAACUACGGGCUUUAAGCUAUAUCCGGGUCUCCGCCCAUCUCUGGCCCAUUAUCCUGAAACUUAGCUCCGGGCUUCCGGUAAUGAUCCUUGGAGUAACCCGGCCCUCCUGGCGGGUGACCCCCAGGUCUAUAUCCUCAACAGGUGGCAUUGCCCUUCUUAACACCACCACCCUUCACAUUGUUCUUCUUCUCCUUUGGAGCGCCCUCUCCCUCUUUCAUAAAGGUUUGCUUGAGAGGAGUAGGUUGUCUGGUGUUGACCUUAAAGGCUAGUAAAACCCAUAGAGGUGUGUCCACAACCUCCACAUUUUCCUCAUUGCACUGUACCCAUUGUUGACCUCGAAGUUGAACUGCUCAAAAUUUGAAAAUGUGGUACAAGUUGUCAUCCCUGACAGAACUUCAUUAGUCUUGCUAUUAAGCAUCAUGAGGUUAUCUCUAAGCUUAAUUAGCAACCCUGAAUAAAAAGGGCGAAUUUGCUUGCGUUCAUGCCGUCAACACCCACCACCGGCCGCUACAAUAUCCCCGCAGAUUAUUUUCCCCGUGCACGCUGCGUGUCUCCGGUCCAUGCCACCAACUUCCCACCGGCAUUCAAACAUUCCCGACCUCUUUCUUGCAGUACAAAUGAAGCAUGUCCACCGGAAUCCUAGCGACCAGUCCGUCCCGCCGCCGCCGCCGCCAUGGAGGAUUGGCUCUUCUACUCGCUCACCACCAUGCUCUGCCUCCUCAGCUCGCUGCUGCUGCGGGCCCGGGCCCGCAGCCCGUCCCAUUCCGCGACGCUGACGCCGCCGCUGCCUCCAGGUCCGGUGCCGCUGCCGGUUCUGGGCCCGCUGCUCCACCUGGCGCGUCGCGACUUCGACCUGGAGCCCGUGCUGCGGCGCCUCGCGCGGGCCUACGGCCCGGUCUACUCCUUCGCGCCAUUGGGGCUGGCGCGGCCGAUGAUAUUCGUCGCGGCGCGAGGCCCGGCCCACCGCGCCCUCGUCCAGCGGGGCGCCGCCUUCGCCUCCCGCCCGCGCGCCACCGCUCCCGCCGCCGCCGUGCUCACCAGCGGCGGCCGCAACGUCAGCUCCGCGCCGUAUGGGCCCACCUGGCGCGUGCUCCGUCGCACCCUCGCCUCCGGCGUGCUCAACCCGGCCCGCCUCCGCGCCUUCGCCCCCGCGCGGCGCUGGGUGCUCGACGUCCUCCUCUCCCGCAUCCGCUCCGGCGGCGGCGUCGUCGCCGUCAUGGAGCCCUUCCAGUACGCCAUGUUCUGCCUCCUGGUGUACAUGUGCUUCGGCGGCGAUCGCCUCGGCGACGCGCGCGUGAGGGACAUCGAGGCGCUGCAGCGUGACCUCCUCGCCAACUUCCUCAGCUUCCAGGUCUUCUCCUUCCUCCCGCCGCUCACCAAGCUCGUCUUCCGCCGCCGGUGGAGCAAGCUCGUCUCGCUGCGCCGGCGGCAGGAGGAGCUCUUCGUCCCGCUCAUCCGCGCCAGGAGGGAUGCCGGCGCUGGCGGCGACUGCUACGUGGAUUCCCUGGUGAGGCUUGCCAUCCCGGAGGAUGGAGGGAGGGGGCUCACCGACGGCGAGAUCGUCAGCCUCUGCUCCGAGUUCCUGAGCGCCGGGACCGACACCACUGCCACGGCGCUGCAGUGGAUACUCGCGAACCUGGUCAAGAACCCGGCGAUGCAGGACAGGCUAAGGGAGGAGGUCUCCACUGCCGUCGACGGCGAGCUGCGGGAGGAGGACCUGCAGGGGAUGCCGUACCUCAAGGCCGUGGUGCUGGAGGGGCUGAGGCGGCACCCGCCGGGGCACUACGUGCUGCCGCACGCCGCGGCGGAGGAGACGACGCUGGACGGGUACCGCGUCCCGGCGGGCACGCCGGUAAACUUCGCGGUGGGCGACAUCGGGCUGGACGAGGAGAUCUGGACGGCGCCGUCGGAGUUCCGGCCGGAGCGGUUCCUGCCGGGCGGCGAGGGGGAGGACGUGGACCUCACCGGCAGCAAGGAGAUCAAGAUGAUGCCGUUCGGCGCCGGCAGGAGGGUCUGCCCCGCCAUGGCGCUGGCGCUGCUGCACCUCGAGUACUUCGUGGCCAACCUGGUCAGGGAGUUCGAGUGGCGCGAGGAGGCCGGCGAGGAGGUGGACCUCACCGAGAAGCUCGAGUUCACGGUUGUCAUGAGGCGGCCGCUCAAGGCGAGGGCUGUGCCGCUGAGGCAAGGAAUGCCCAUCGCUGCCACGGGCUCAGGUUGAUCGACGGGGGCGAACCAUCUUCUCCUUUCCCGAAUGUUUAGUAGUGCACCGUAGCUUCUCGUUGCUCAUGAUCAUAUAAAGAUGGUAAUUAGAUUAAGCUUGUCUUCUUGUUUUCUUAAUUUGCUUUUGCUAAUGAAAUGUAAUGUGUGGUUUUCUAAUCUAAAGUCAGAUUAAAAUGAAACCAAUGAACGUACAGGAGAACUGCGUCUUCUAUUCAGAAAGCGUGAAAAUGUCAAAAAUUCUCCUGUAUCCAUGAGAUUUAACCGAAGAGGAGCCUUGGCGUAGUGAUAAAGUUAGUGCCUUGUGACCAUGAAGUCACGUCCUCAAGUCUUGGAAACAGUCACUUACAGAAUAGAGGUAAAUAUUGCGUACAAUAGAUCCAAAGUGAUCGGACCCUGCGCAAGCGGGAGCUACAUGCAUCAGGUUGCCUUUUUUAUCCAUGAAAUUUAACCCAAAGAGCGAAAUAAACAGACAAAUAUGAAUACAAGAGAAUUAUUUCUUUUUCUGGAACCUACAUGAGAUGAUAUCAAUCAGUUAAGAUCCUAAGCAUAUUAAGAGCGUGUUCGGGAGCCCUUUGGCUUCUCAAAUCCUCAUCUCCAGCCCGGAGUCCAGCCGAACGGAUCAACUCCUGGCUUUUGGAACGAGAAGCUGGUUAGAAACUGCGUGCAAAAUCGAAGGAGUCGUGGAGUUGGGAAAACGUGGCUCCGCAGAAACUGGGAAGCGGGUUUUGAAAAGAACUACAUGCUUGUGCCACCACCAAGUGACAUUGCGUACCAGUUCGCGAGCAACUAAUCGUAUUCUCUCUCUCCCUCCUGACUCGUACGCCAUCCCCUCUUCUCUUCUUGUUGGGCUGAAGAGGAGAAAACGAGCUAAUUGGGCUGCAAGACCAUCUCUCUCCGUACCAAGCCUGGCUGCAUCCAAGCCUCAUGGGCUGGCAGCCCAUGCGAGCGCUAAUGGUUGAGAAGCUACUGUCCCAAACGGUUUUCAAACUCCAGGAUUUUUACGAGAAGCUAGCAGCUGGUUACGGGCUGAGGAGUCGAGGAGUUUGAGGCUGGGGAGGACUACCGAACAGGCCCUAAGGCACAUGUUUAUCUACUAGAAUGUAGAUGUCUUGAACGUAUUUCAUCGUUAUGUACAGUUCAGCCAUUCCACUCCUACCUAGCGAAUAAAUUGGUAAUCAGGUAUUAGCUAGUUGCCACUUCAUCAUCUAGUAUGAGGCUACGAGCAUGCUCCAAGAACCACAUGCACGAGAGAAAAUAUUCUUACUUGCUUAAAUCAAUGAAAUUUAACAAGCAAGAGUAUAUGUUAAAAUUUACAUUUCUGAAAUUUGCUUACCUGCUCACAACCUUUGUUGGAAAAGGCGGCACUUAGGCACGCUUAGGCGCUAGGUGACAGUCUUUUAGCCUUGCUCUCAACUCUUGAUAUUCACUUGCAACACAAGUACCACUUGGUGGACUUUUCUAUAAAAGUAAGCACCCACUCCGCCUUGCGCCUAGCUAGAUCAUUUCCUCGAACAAGAGUGCUUUCAUCUUGGGCCGCAGCGUCCACGAUAAUUUUUUGUUGGUUCAGCCAACGACCAAAUUUCUUCAUAAACACAAGGCUCCGAGAGUGCUCCUCAAGCUGGACAUCGCCCACGCCUUCAACUUGGUAUCCUGGCCCUUCCUCCUAGAGACUCUCAAACUCCUUGGAUUCGGCAAUGGCUGGUGCAAGUGUGUUUCAAUCCUACUCUCCACAACAUUGAUUGGGGUGCUCGUCAAUGGUCACCCCGUGCCACUAUCCCCCACGCGUGUGGCUUACAGCAGGGAGAUCCUCUGACCCCAUGCUAUUCACCAUGGUGAUCGACGUGCUUAACUCCCUUCUCCAUCACGCGGUCCAUGUUGGAGUCCUUCAGCUCCUCACCACACACCUUGCCGCUUCGAGCAUCUCUCUCUUUGCAGAUGAUGUGGUAAUUUUCUGGCAUACAAACCCUUCGGAGGCUUUUGUGUCUGGAAUUGAUUGCAAGUAACACCUUCGAGCAAUGUCCGCACCAAUAAUAACUCAAUAUUUCUUGCACUUCAGACGUAAACAAGCGAGUAAAAUAGUUUUGUAUAUGAGGGUUUAAUCCAGCCAUACUUCUAACUAAUUCCAAUUGUCUUCUUGCAAUCUUUUCAAAGUUCCUCUUUCUUCUAGAAGACACAAAGGCCUGAAAGAAAUCGGUGUUGCGACGUUCACCACUUUUCAACCAAGUUGCCCGAAACCUUUGUUGGGGAACGUAGUAUUUCAAAAAAUUUACCUACGAUCACGCAAGAUCUAUCUAGGAGAAGCAUAGAAACGAGCGAGGAGAGUGUGUCCACGUACCCUCGUAGACCGAAAGCGGAAGCGUUUAGUAACGCGGUUGAUGUAGUCAAACGUCUUCGCGAUCCAACCGAUCCAAGUACCGAACGCACAGCACCUCCGCGAUCUGCACACGUUCAGCUCGGUGACGUCCCUCGAACUCUUGAUCCAGUUGAGGCCGAGGGAGAGUUUCGUCAACACGACGGCGUGGUGACGGUGAUGAUGAAGUUACCGGCGUAGGGCUUCACCUAAGCACUACGACAAUAUGACCGAGGUGUAAAACUGUGGAGGGGGCACCGCCAUUCAAUAUAAAUACAUAUCCGUUUUGCGACUUAGAGUCAUCCGGAUCAGUGUCAAAGCUAGAAUCGACGUAACCAUUUACGACGAGCUCUUUCUCACCCACAUAAACGAGAAACAUAUCCUUAGUCCUUUUCAGGUAUUUCAGGAUGUUCUUGACCGCUGUCCAGUGAUCCACUCCUGGAUUACUUUGGUACCUCCCUGCUAAACUUAUAGCAAGGCACACAUCAGGUCUGGUACACAACAUUGCAUACAUGAUAGAACCUAUGGCUGAGGUGUUGGGGGAACGUAGCAUGCAAUUUCAAAAAAUUUCCUACGGUCACGCAAGAUCUAUCUAGGAGAUGCAUAGCAACGAGAGGGGGAGAGUGUGUCCACGUACCUUCGUAGACCGAAAGCGGAAGCGUUAGCUUAACGCGGUUGAUGUAGUCAAACGUCUUCGUGAUCCAACCGAUCAAGCACCGAAUGUACGGCACCUCCGAGUUCUGCACACGUUUAGCUCGAUGACGUCCCUCAAAAUCUUGAUCCAGCAAAGUGUCGAGGGAGAGUUUCGUCAACAUGAUGGCGUGGUGACGGUGAUGGUGAUGUGAUUCGCGCAGGGCUUCGCCUAAGCACUACGAUAAUAUGACCGGAGGAGUAAACUGUGGAGGGGGACAUCGCACACGGCAAAGAAACAAUUGAUGUGCUUUGGGGUGCCCCCUGCCCCCGUAUAUAAAGAAGGAUAGGGGAGGAGGCCGGCCCUAGGGGGCGCACCAAGUGGGGGGCAACCCACUAGGACUCCUAGUCCUAGUCGCCCCCCUUCCUUCUUGCGGAGGGGGAAAGGGGGAAGGAGAGGGAGGGGGAGAAGGAAAGGGGGCCGCGCCCCCUCCACAUGUCCAAUUCGGACUCCCCAUGGGGGAGGGGGGGGGGGCGCCACCCCUUGUGGGCUGCCCUCUGUCUCCCCUAUAGCCCAUAGUGGCCCAUUACUUUCCCCGGGGGUUCCGGUAACCCCUCGGUACUCCCAUAAAUAUCUGAAACACUCCGAAACCAUUCCUGUGUCCGAAUACUAUCGUCCAAUAUAUCAAUCUUUACCUCUCAACCAUUUCGAGACUCCUCGUCAUGUCCGUUAUCCCAUCCUGGACUCCGAACAACCUUCGGUCACCAAAACACAUAACUCAUAAUACAAAUCGUCAUCGAACGUUAAGCGUGCGGACCCUAGGGCCGCUUCACACGUAGAUCCUGCCACGAUGCUUUGCUUGGAACUACACCAACUGACAGCUCCACCAUUCAAUAUAAAUACAUAUCCGGUUUGUGACUUAGAGUCAUCCGGAUCAGUGUCAAAACUAGCAUCGACUAGACCUGGCCAUACCUCGGGCCGGGCCGGGCUUCGGGCCGGGCCUAGCCAAGCCCGAUGCAAAAAACCCAGGCCCGGGCCCGGCCCGGCCAUCGGGCCUGUUUUCUGGGCCCAAGCCCGGCCCGAACACAGAAAAGCCCGUCGGGCUCCGGCCCGGCCUGGCCCGACCUUUAGAAAAGUGCAAAAACAACGGGCCCGGGCCCGGCCCGGCCCGGCCACCGGGCUCAAAAUCUAGGCCCGAGCCCGGCCCGGGAGCAGCGUCGGGCUGGGCCUGAUCGGGCCGGGUCAGGCCGGGCUGGCCGGGCCGGGCUUCCCAUGGCCAGGUAUGGCAUCGACGUAACCAUUUACGACGAGCUCUUUGUCACCUCCAUAAACAAGAAACAUAUCCUUAGUCCUAUUUAGGUAUUUCAGGAUGUUCUUGACCGCUUUCCAGUGAUCCACUCCUGGAUUACUUUGGUACCUCCCUGCUAAACUUAUAGCAAGGCACACAUCAGGUCUGGUACACAACAUUGCAUACAUGAUAGAACCUAUGGCUGAAGCAUAGGGAAUGACUUUCAUUUUCUCUCUAUCUUUUGAUGUGGUUGGGCAUUGAGUCUGACUCAACUUCACACCUUGUAACAUAGGCAAGAACCCUUUCUUUGACUGAUCCAUUUUGAACUUCUUCAAAACUUUAUCAAGGUAUGUGCUUUGUGAAAGUCCAAUUAAGCGUCUUGAUCUAUCUAUAUAGAUCUUGAUGCCUAAUAUAUAAGCAGCUUCACCGAGGUCUUUCAUUGAAAAUUCUUAUUCAAGUAUCCUUUUAUGCUAUCCAGAAAUUCUAUAUCAUUUCCAAUCAACAAUAUGUCAUCCACAUAUAAUAUUAGAAAUGCUACAGAGCUCCCCCUCACUUUCUUGUAAAUACAGGCUUCUCCAAAAGUCUGUAUAAAACCAUAUGCUUUGAUCCCACUAUCAAAGCGUAUAUUCCAACUCCGAGAUGCUUGCACUGGUCCAUCAAUGGAUCGCUGGAGCUUGCACACUUUGUUAGCACCUUUAGGAUCGACAAAACCUUCUAGUUGCAUCAUAUACAACUCUUCUUUAAGAAAUCCAUUAAGGAAGGCAGUUUUGACGUCCAUUUGCCAAAUUUCAUAAUCAUAAAAUGCGGCAAUUGCUAACAUGAUUCGGACAGACUUAAGCAUCGCUACGGGUGAGAAGGUCUCGCCAUAGUCAACCCCUUGAACUUGUCGAAAACCUUUUGCAACAAGUCGAUCUUUGUAGACAGUAACAUUACCAUCAGUGUCAGUCUUCUUCUUGAAAAUCCAUUUAUUCUCUAAGGCUUGCCGCGGGCAAGUCAACCAAAGUCCAUACGUUGUUCUCAUACAUGGAUCCCAUCUCAGAUUUCAUGGCCUCAAGCCAUUUCGCGGAAUUUGGGCUCAUCAUUGCUUUCUCAUAGUUCGUAGGUUCGUCAUGGUCUAGUAACAUGACUUCCAGAACAGGAUUACCGUGCCACUCUGGAGUGGAACGUACUCUGGUUGACCUAUGAGGUUCGGUAGUAACUUGAUCUGAAGUUUCAUGAUCAUCAUCAUUAGCUUCCUUACUAAUUUGUGUAGGCAUUACGGGAACAGUUUUCUGUGAUGAACUACUUCCCAAUUCAAGAGAAGGUACAGUUACCUCAUCAAGUUCUACUUUCCUCUCACUCACUUCUUUCGAGAGAAACUCCUUCUCUAGAAAGGAUCCAUUCUUAGCAACAAAUAUCUUGCCUUCGUCUUUGUGAUAGAAGGUGUACCCAACAGUUUCUUUUGGGUAUCCUAUGAAGAAGCACUUCUCCGAUUCGGGUUCGAGCUUAUCAGGCUGAAGCUUUUUCACAUAAGCAUCGCAACCCCAAACUUUAAGAAAUGAUAGCUUAGGUUUCUUACCAAACCACAGUUCAUAUGGUGUCGUCGCAAUGGAUUUAGAUGGUGCCCUAUUUAACGUGAAUGCAGCUGUCUCUAAUGCAUAACCCCAAAGCGAUAGUGGUAAAUCUGUAAGAGACAUCAUAGAUCGUACCAUAUCUAAUAAAGUACGGUUACGACGUUCGGACACACCAUUACGCUGUGGUGUUCCAGGUGGCGUGAGUUGCGAAACUAUUCCACAUUGUUUCAAAUGAAGACCAAACUCGUAACUCAAAUAUUCGCCUCCACGAUCAGAUCGUAGAAACUUUAUUUUCUUGUUACGAUGAUUUUCCACUUCACUCUGAAAUUCUUUGAACUUUUCAAAUGUUUCAGACUUGUGUUUCAUUACGUAGAUAUACCCAUACCUGCUUACAUCAUCUGUGAAGGUAAGAAAAUAACGAUACCCGCCGCGAGCCUCAACACUCAUCGGACCGCAUACAUCAGUAUGUAUUAUUUCCAAUAAGUCAGUGGCUCGCUCCAUUGUUCCGGAGAACGGAGUCUUAGUCAUCUUGCCCAUGAGGCAUGGUUCGUAAGCAUCAAGUAAUUCAUAAUCAAGUGAUUCCAAAAUCCCAUCUUCAUGGAGUUUCUUCAUGCGCUUUACACCAAUAUGGCCUAAACGGUAGUGCCACAAAUAAGUUGCACUAUCAUUAUUAACUUUGCAUCCUUUGGCAUCAAUAUUAUGAAUAUGUGUAUCACCAUGAUCGAGAUUCAACAAAAAUAGACCACUCAUCAAGGGUGCAUGACCAUAAAAUAUAUUACUCAUAUAAAUAGAACAACCAUAUCAAACAAGAUCCAGAUAUAAUGUUCAUGCUCAAAGCUGGCACCAAAUAACAAUUAUUCAGGUCUAAAACUAAUCCCGAUGGUAGAUCUAGAGGUAGCGUGCCGACAGCGACCACAUCGACCUUGGAACCAUUUCCGACGUGCAUCGUCACCUCGUCCUUAGCCAAUCUUCGUUUAAUCCGUAGCCCCUGUUUCGAGUUGCAAAUAUGAGCAACAGAACCAGUAUCAAAUACCCAGGCGCUACUACGAGCAUUAGUAAGGUACACAUCAAUAACAUGUAUAUAAAAUAUACCUUUCACUUUGCCAUCCUUCUUAUCUGCCAAAUACUUGGGACAGUUCCGCUUCCAGUGACCAGUCCCUUUGCAGUAGAAGCACUCAGUUUCAGGCUUAGGUCCAGACUUGGGCUUCUUCCCGGGAGCAACAACUUGCUUGCUAUUCUUCUUGAAGUUCGCCUUCUUCCCUUUGCCCUUUUUCUUGAAACAAGUGGUCUUGUUAACCAUCAACACUUGAUGCUCCUUCUUGAUUUCUACCUCUGUAGCCUUGAGCAUUGCGAAGAGCUCGGGAAUCGUCUUGUUCAUCCCUUGCAUAUGAUAGUUCAUCACGAAGCCUUUAUAGCUUGGUGGCAGUGAUUAAAGAACUCUAUCAAUGACACUAUCAUCUGGAAGAUUAACUCCUAGCUGAGUCAAGUGGUUAUGGUACCCAGACAUUCUGAGUAUGUGUUCACUGACAGAACUGUUCUCCUCCAUCUUGCAGCUAUAGAACUUGUUGGAGACUUCAUAUCUCUCAACUCGGGCAUUUGCUUGAAAUAUUAACUUCAACUCCUGGAACAUCUCAUAUGCUCCAUGACGUUCAAAACGUCUUUGAAGUCUCGAUUCUAAGCCGUAAAGCAUGGCACACUGGACUAUCAAGUAGUCAUCAGAUUUAGCUUGCCAGACAUUCAUAACGUCAGCAGUUGCUCCUGCAGUAGGCCUUGCACCUAGCGGUGCAUCAAGGACGCAAUUCUUCAGUGCAGCAAUGAGGAUAAUCCUCAAGUUACGGACCCAGUCCGUGUAGUUUCUACCAUCAUAUUUCAACUUAGCUUUCUCUAGGAACGCAUUAAAAUUCAAGGGAACGGUAGCACGGGCCAUUUAUCUACAACAUAGAUAUGCAAAAACUACCAGGACUAAGUUCAUGAUAAAUGUAAGUUCAAUUAAUCAUAUUACUUAAGAACUCCCACUUAGAUGGACAUCCCUCGAGUCAUCUAAAUGAUGACGUGAUCCAUAUCAACUAAACCAUGUCCGAUCAUCACGUGAGAUGGAGUAGUUUUCAAUGGUGAACAUCUCUAUGUUAAUCAUAUCUAUUAUCACUGGUUCGCAUCGGUGCUAUACAAACGGUUUUUGAACCCUUUCCACGACGACAUUUGGAACCGUCGCCUAGUGAGUGACGGCGAUAGGGGGGUCCUUCACACGACCCAGAAACUGUCGGGGAUAGGGAGCCAAGAUGCAUAUACAUUACUCCUACUCGUUUGUGCUCGCAUUGCCAUCGCAGUCGGUAUUCUGUGGUGCUACUUUUAUGAUGCGCGGCCCAUCACAAACGGUUCACUAUUAUAGAGCGUGUAUGAUAAGCAUACAAUCACACACAUUCGCUUUUCCCAAACCGUAUGCGACAACUAAUUAAGAAGAUUAGCUAAUGGUUGUACGAGUGUCAGACAGGAUUACGAAACGUCGUACCGUCGUGAAAGGAUCGAGAAGAGGUGUCUAGAGGGGGUGAUUAGACUCUCAACAAAGAAAAGUAGCAGUUUUUAAUUUCUUCAAGUUAAGGUGGAGUUUUAACACAAGUUUAAACAUUCACAAUACAUUUCAAGCAAGCAUGGCAAGAGUAUAUGAGCAGUGGAAAGUAAAGCACGCAAGUUGCAAGAAAGUAAAGGGAUGGGAUUGGAGUGUGCAAACGCAAUUGGAGACACGGAGAUUUUUGGCGUGGUUCCGAUAGGUGGUGCUAUCAUACAUCCACGUUGAUGGAGACUUCAACCCACGAAGGGUAACAGUUGCGCGAGUCCAUGGACGGCUCCACCCACGAAGGGUCCACGAAGAAGCAACCUUGUCUAUCCCACCAUGGCCAUUGCCCACGAAGGACUUGCCUCACUAGGGUAGAUCUUCAUGAAGUAGGCGAUCUCCUUGCCCGUACAAACUCCUUGGUUCAACUCCACAAUCUUGACGGAGGCUCCCAAGUAACACCUAACCAAUCUAGGAGACACCACUCUCCAAAAGGUAAUAGAUGGUGUGUUGAUGAUGAACUCCUUGCUCUUGUGCUUCAAAUGAUAGUCUCCCCAACACUCAACUCUCUCUUAGAUUUGGAUUUGGUGGAAAGAUGAUUUGAGUGGAAAGCAACUUGGGGAAGGCUAGAGAUCAAGAUUCUUGUGGUUGGAUUGUAAUAUCUUGGUCUCAACACAUGAGUAGGUGGUUCUCUCUCAGAAAAUGAAUGCUGGAAGUGUAGGCACGUUCUAAUGGCUUUCCUCACGAAUGAAGGAAGGGUGAAGGGGUAUAUAUAGCCUCCACACAAAAUCUAGCCGUUACAGACAAUUCACCAAACUCGAUGGGACCUGUCGUGGAAUUGUCACGGCAGAUGUCCUAGCAGAAGGACUUAGUCGUGGAGCCAUUGCAACAGGGUUAGCUUAAAGGGGUUAAAUGGGACAAAAGCACAAGGAGUUUAUACUGGUUCGGCCCCUUGCGGUGAAGGUAAAGGCCUAAUCCAGUUUGAGGUGGUAUUGCUUAUGCCUCGAUUACUAGGGAGCGAAUACGCUUGACCUAGCUUUCGAUCUGUUGUUUCUUGCCCUAAGCCGCCGCUGGGUCGCCCCUUUAUAUACACAGGUUGACGCCCAGCGGCUUACAGAGUCCCGACCGGCUCAUAAACAACGUGUCCGGCCUGGUGACUAAUUACACUUGCCUUACAAUACAAGUUAUACAUAUAUGGCGGUUUACACUUAUGGGCUUUAAGCCGCCUUUGGGCUUCGGGCCCUUUAACAAGUCUGCUUCAUGAACCGCCAUCUUCAACAUCUUCAUGGGCUUUGUCUUGAUGAGUCGCCAUUGGGAUAACCCGGCCCCUCCUGGGUGGGUCAUACCCAAUAGUCAUAUCCCCAACAUUAGGCCCCAGGUUGAUUUGAACUUGUUCAUGUCAAUCUUCAACACUUAGAAAAAAUCCUUCUUCAUUUGUUCUUGCAAGAUAUUGUAACCCGCCAUGACGUCAUCUCCUGGAAUUACGGAAACCCGCCAUGAUGUCAUCUGUCAUUAUUUUCGCACAAUAUCCAGCAUAUCUUAAUAAAUCCUUUAUCUUUAAUAACCAUCCCGAAGAUCGAGGCGUCUGAGCGGCUGGAUAAUCAUUCUUUGGCCUCCUCGAUUUUCGCGCCCGCCUGUUACCUCUUUCCUUAUAAAUAGGGCCAGGCAGCCUUUUAAUUUUCCACUUUUCCUUCUCGUCUUCAACCUCUCUCUUCGCGACGCAUUUGCAUGCACUACAAAAAAAAAA